GUAGUUAGCCGGGGCUUCCUCCUUGGCUACCGUCAUUUUUUCGUCACCAAGGACAGAGGUUUACAACCCGAAAGCCUUCUUCCCUCACGCGGCGUUGCUGGGUCAGGCUUGCGCCCAUUGCCCAAUAUUCCCCACUGCUGCCUCCCGUAGGAGUCUGGACCGUGUCUCAGUUCCAGUGUGGCCGAUCAGCCUCUCAGCUCGGCUACCCAUCGCUGACUUGGUGGGCCGUUACCCCGCCAACUAUCUAAUGGGACGCGAACCCCUCCAAUUGCGGAUUGCUCCUUUGACCUCAUCCCGAUGCCGGGUCGUGGUCUUAUGCGGUAUUAGCACUUGUUUCCAGGUGUUAUCCCCCUCAACUGGUCAGGUUGUUCACGCGUUACUCACCCGUUCGCCACUAAGCUAUAUCCGAAAACAUAGCUCCGUUCGACUUGCAUGUGUUAGGCACGCCGCCAGCGUUCGUCCUGAGCCAGAAUCAAACUCUGA
RNAcentral lists this ribosomal RNA (483 nucleotides) under uncultured bacterium. RNAcentral's name for it is "partial 16S ribosomal RNA". The record is from RNAcentral.